GUGGGGAAUUUUGGACAAUGGGGGCAACCCUGAUCCAGCAAUGCCGCGUGUGUGAAGAAGGCCUUCGGGUUGUAAAGCACUUUUGUCCGGAAAGAAAACGUUCUGGUUAAUACCUGGGGCGGAUGACGGUACCGGAAGAAUAAGCACCGGCUAACUACGUGCCAGCAGCCGCGGUAAUACGUAGGGUGCGAGCGUUAAUCGGAAUUACUGGGCGUAAAGCGUGCGCAGGCGGUUUUGUAAGACAGGCGUGAAAUCCCCGAGCUCAACUUGGGAAUUGCGCUUGUGACUGCAAGGCUAGAGUAUGUCAGAGGGGGGUAGAAUUCCACGUGUAGCAGUGAAAUGCGUAGAGAUGUGGAGGAAUACCGAUGGCGAAGGCAGCCCCCUGGGACGUCACUGACGCUCAUGCACGAAAGCGUGGGGAGCAA
This 425-nucleotide ribosomal RNA is filed under the name uncultured Cupriavidus sp. Its description in RNAcentral is "bacterial SSU rRNA". It matches the Rfam family "Bacterial small subunit ribosomal RNA", at positions 354 to 771 of the family's 1533-position model. The record is from RNAcentral. Lineage: Bacteria; Pseudomonadati; Pseudomonadota; Betaproteobacteria; Burkholderiales; Burkholderiaceae.